UUAGGAAUAUUGGACAAUGGGGGAAACCCUGAUCCAGCCAUGCCGCGUGUGUGAUGAAGGCCUUAGGGUUGUAAAGCACUUUCGUUGGGGAUGAUAAUGACCGUACCCAAAGAAGAAGCACCGGCUAACUUCGUGCCAGCAGCCGCGGUAAUACGAAGGGUGCAAGCGUUGUUCGGAAUCACUGGGCGUAAAGAAUGCGUAGGCGGCUUAACAAGUCAGGAGUGAAAUCCCCGGGCUCAACCUGGGAACUGCUUCUGAAACUGUUUUGCUAGAGUCCCGGAGGGGUUAAUGGAAUUCCGAGUGUAGAGGUGAAAUUCGCAGAUAUUCGGAGGAACACCAGUGGCGAAGGCGAUUAACUGGACGGGAACUGACGCUGAGGCAUGAAAGUGUGGGGAUCAAA
RNAcentral lists this ribosomal RNA (400 nucleotides) under uncultured bacterium. RNAcentral's name for it is "bacterial SSU rRNA". It matches the Rfam family "Bacterial small subunit ribosomal RNA", at positions 355 to 772 of the family's 1533-position model. The record is from RNAcentral.